GGUCACUCCUUACCAAUGGGAAGGCCGACGGUCAACGCCGCAGCCACGAGGCAUCCCGACGACGCGCCGCCGAUUCUGGAAGCACCGUGGAUGAGCGCCAUGAAGAAGAAGCAGCAGCAAGAUAACGGCUGAUCUUCACUGCAGGCUUUGGUCAACAUCUGCUGUUCUCUUUGAGGCCGCCGUGUGGUGUUGCGCAACCUACAAGGUCUACCUGGCACUCUGCCAUUUUGGAGAAGCCAUACCCUGGGACAGUCAGAUGACUGUCACAUG
Long non-coding RNA from Dunckerocampus dactyliophorus (ringed pipefish), 270 nucleotides. RefSeq lists it as uncharacterized. The record is from RefSeq and is a predicted model, not a curated record. The transcript has 3 exons. NCBI's taxonomy places the organism in Eukaryota, Metazoa, Chordata, Actinopteri, Syngnathiformes, Syngnathidae.